RNAcentral lists this ribosomal RNA (497 nucleotides) under uncultured bacterium. Its description in RNAcentral is "partial 16S ribosomal RNA". It matches the Rfam family "Bacterial small subunit ribosomal RNA", at positions 28 to 507 of the family's 1533-position model. The record is from RNAcentral.
GAUUAACGCUGGCGGCGUGCCUAAUACAUGCAAGUCGAGCGAACAGACGAGGAGCUUGCUCCUCUGACGUUAGCGGCGGACGGGUGAGUAACACGUGGAUAACCUACCUAUAAGACUGGGAUAACUUCGGGAAACCGGAGCUAAUACCGGAUAAUAUAUUGAACCGCAUGGUUCAAUAGUGAAAGACGGUUUUGCUGUCACUUAUAGAUGGAUCCGCGCCGCAUUAGCUAGUUGGUAAGGUAACGGCUUACCAAGGCAACGAUGCGUAGCCGACCUGAGAGGGUGAUCGGCCACACUGGAACUGAGACACGGUCCAGACUCCUACGGGAGGCAGCAGUAGGGAAUCUUCCGCAAUGGGCGAAAGCUUGACGGAGCAACGCCGCGUGAGUGAUGAAGGUCUUCGGAUCGUAAAACUCUGUUAUUAGGGAAGAACAAAUGUGUAAGUAACUAUGCACGUCUUGACGGUACCUAAUCAGAAAGCCACGGCUAACUACGUG